AUUAGAAAUUUCAGGUGCAAGACCUUAAGAAAAAUAGCAUAAGGGCACAAGAGCUGCCCAAGCAGCCUAGGUGAAAGGUUUCAGAGCUGCGAGUGGCAAGCCUACAGAAUUGGAAUUAGACAAACCUUAUCAUAAGAGUCUGUCAGUGAGAUGCAUCUGCAGCAUUACAUGUCUGUUUUUUGCCUCAGCGUGCCCACAGUCUGACCCCCGAUAAUGGCAGAUGUGAUAGAAUUUAAGAACUUACUGUGGAAGAUUCUCUGAUACAUUUCAUAUCAGGAGAACGGAGCAGAAACUAAGAAAAGAGAAGUGGAGGACUACACAAAUUAUGUGAACACUAUUAAAUACUGGAAAAUUUCAACAUAAUUUCUAAGGUGAAAAAAACUUCACACUUUAAGUAAAUAUUUUAAUAAAAAAUAUUAU
RNAcentral lists this long non-coding RNA (420 nucleotides) under Numida meleagris (helmeted guineafowl). Its description in RNAcentral is "lncRNA (ENSNMEG00000009498.1)". The record is from RNAcentral. Lineage: Eukaryota; Metazoa; Chordata; Aves; Galliformes; Numididae.